UACAGAGGGUGCGAGCGUUAAUCGGAAUUACUGGGCGUAAAGCGUGCGUAGACGGUUAUGUAAGUCAGGUGUGAAAGCCCCGGGCUCAACCUGGGAAUUGCAUUUGAGACUGCAUAGCUAGGGUGCGGAAGAGGGAAGCGGAAUUUCCGGUGUAGCGGUGAAAUGCGUAGAUAUUGGAAGGAACAUCAGUGGCGAAAGCGGCUUCCUGGUCCAGCACCGACGUUCAGGCACGAAAGCGUGGGGAGCAAACAGG
RNAcentral lists this ribosomal RNA (253 nucleotides) under uncultured bacterium. RNAcentral's name for it is "partial 16S ribosomal RNA". It matches the Rfam family "Bacterial small subunit ribosomal RNA", at positions 524 to 776 of the family's 1533-position model. The record is from RNAcentral.